RNAcentral lists this long non-coding RNA (751 nucleotides) under Salmo salar (Atlantic salmon). RNAcentral's name for it is "lncRNA (ENSSSAG00000086929.1, ENSSSAG00000089099.1, ENSSSAG00020080269.1, ENSSSAG00075010020.1)". The record is from RNAcentral. Lineage: Eukaryota; Metazoa; Chordata; Actinopteri; Salmoniformes; Salmonidae.
CUCAGAAGGCGCCAGAACGUUGAAUGAUGACUCUGCUGUCCCAGGCUGAAAAACGGUAUUGCAUUUGGUAAGUGGUCGAUCUGAGAACAAUGAGACGGGGGCGCGCAUGCAAAAGAUGACUCCAUUUUCAACUUUGAGUCUUUGAACGAAAACAUGGUUUCCCGGUCGGAAUAGUAUCGCUAUUUUACGAGAAAAAUCGCAUAAAAAUUUAUUUUAAACAGAGUUUGACAUGCUUCGAAGUACGGUAAUGGAAUAUUUUGAAAAUUUUUGUCACGAUACGCGUCCGCGCGUCACCAUUCGGAUAGUGUCUUGAACGCAAGAACAAAACAGAGGAUAUUUGAACAUAACUAUGGAUUAUUUUGAACCAAAACAACAUUUGUGGAUGAAGUAGAAGUCCUGGGAGUGCAUUCUGACGAAGAACAGCAAAGGUCGCAGUUGUAAAUGAGAGCUUGUUAACAAAUGGCCUACCUGGUUAAAUAAAGGAAUGAUCAAGCAGGGAGGCAAAGGUGGUCCAAACAUAGGGGUCCAUCAUCCAACUCAGCUGACUCCGUGGCUGUGAAGAUGAGUCAUGAUGACUGCUCAUGGAAAGGUGAGAUUCAUUAUACUCAACCCAGUAGCAGUAAAAAAUAAAAACGAUAUGACAUUUAAGCCUAUCCUAUUUUACAUGGUUGAUGAUUAUUUUAAUUGACAUGCUAAAUAAUGUGUCAGAGGCACUCAAAUCUGCUUCCAUACGUGGCCACUAUGUCCCAAG